GAUGAAGCCCACUUGUGGGUGGAUUAGUGGCGAACGGGUGAGUAACACGUGAGUAACCUGCCCUUGACUCUGGGAUAAGCCUGGGAAACUGGGUCUAAUACCGGAUAUGACUGAUCAUCGCAUGGUGGUUGGUGGAAAGCUUUUUGUGGUUUUGGAUGGACUCGCGGCCUAUCAGCUUGUUGGUGAGGUAAUGGCUUACCAAGGCGACGACGGGUAGCCGGCCUGAGAGGGUGACCGGCCACACUGGGACUGAGACACGGCCCAGACUCCUACGGGAGGCAGCAGUGGGGAAUAUUGCACAAUGGGCGCAAGCCUGAUGCAGCGACGCCGCGUGAGGGAUGACGGCCUUCGGGUUGUAAACCUCUUUCAGUAGGGAAGAAGCGAAAGUGACGGUACCUGCAGAAGAAGCGCCGGCUAACUACGUGCCAGCAGCCGCGGUAAUACGUAGGGCGCAAGCGUUAUCCGGAAUUAUUGGGCGUAAAGAGCUCGUAGGCGGUUUGUCGCGUCUGCCGUGAAAGUCCGGGGCUCAACUCCGGAUCUGCGGUGGGUACGGGCAGACUAGAGUGAUGUAGGGGAGACUGGAAUUCCUGGUGUAGCGGUGAAAUGCGCAGAUAUCAGGAGGAACACCGAUGGCGAAGGCAGGUCUCUGGGCAUUAACUGACGCUGAGGAGCGAAAGCAUGGGGAGCGAACAGGAUUAGAUACCCUGGUAGUCCAUGCCGUAAACGUUGGGCACUAGGUGUGGGGGACAUUCCACGUUUUCCGCGCCGUAGCUAACGCAUUAAGUGCCCCGCCUGGGGAGUAC
This 803-nucleotide ribosomal RNA is filed under the name Pseudarthrobacter sp. RNAcentral's name for it is "bacterial SSU rRNA". It matches the Rfam family "Bacterial small subunit ribosomal RNA", at positions 68 to 883 of the family's 1533-position model. The record is from RNAcentral. Lineage: Bacteria; Bacillati; Actinomycetota; Actinomycetes; Micrococcales; Micrococcaceae.